AGCGAACGCUGGCGGCAGGCUUAACACAUGCAAGUCGAGCGCCGUAGCAAUACGGAGCGGCAGACGGGUGAGUAACGCGUGGGAACGUGCCUUUUGGUUCGGAACAACACAGGGAAACUUGUGCUAAUACCGGAUAAGCCCUUACGGGGAAAGAUUUAUCGCCAAAAGAUCGGCCCGCGUCUGAUUAGCUAGUUGGUGAGGUAACGGCUCACCAAGGCGACGAUCAGUAGCNGGUCUGAGAGGAUGAUCAGCCACACUGGGACUGAGACACGGCCCAGACUCCUACGGGAGGCAGCAGUGGGGAAUAUUGGACAAUGGGCGCAAGCCUGAUCCAGCCAUGCCGCGUGAGUGAUGAAGGCCCUAGGGUUGUAAAGCUCUUUUGUGCGGGAAGAUAAUGACGGUACCGCAAGAAUAAGCCCCCGGCUAACUUCGUGCCAGCAGCCGCCGUAAU
RNAcentral lists this ribosomal RNA (451 nucleotides) under uncultured bacterium. RNAcentral describes it as "bacterial SSU rRNA". It matches the Rfam family "Bacterial small subunit ribosomal RNA", at positions 29 to 524 of the family's 1533-position model. The record is from RNAcentral.